Long non-coding RNA from Spodoptera frugiperda (fall armyworm), 584 nucleotides. RefSeq lists it as uncharacterized. The transcript is spliced from 3 exons. NCBI's taxonomy places the organism in Eukaryota, Metazoa, Arthropoda, Insecta, Lepidoptera, Noctuidae. The record is from RefSeq and is a predicted model, not a curated record.
UCAGACGAUAUAACAAAACUAUCAAAAAGUUAGAUUGUCAGUUGUCACAAAAUUUUUUGGCGGGUAUCUCAUUCAUAUGUUGAUUGUUGUUGUUUUCAACUGAAUAAACCGACAUCAUGAAUCUGUGUUGUGGGAUUGAACCAGACCACUGUGAUGGGAUUAGAAAAUUUAAAUUAGAAGACGAUUUCAUAUUUUCUAUGGGUCGCACCUUAAACGGUAACUAAAAGCAACUUGAUAUACCUUGCUGGAAUGUAGCCUAUGCCAAUUUAGAGAAUAAACAAGCAAGAAGUGAAGAGACUUGUAUAGUAUUUAAAAAAGUGUGUGUUUACUGUGGAUGCUCCCUUCAAAGCAAAAAAGCUAAUCCUCAUAAAGUUAAUAAUUACACUGCACAUGACCACAGAAUACAAGAAGUUAUAAAAUAAUGGAUAUCACCUCACAGGCUUUAGGUGGUGUUGCAGAAGGGCUGGCUGUAACAUCAUUAGGUCUCCUUUAAAGGGAGUUUUUGAGUGCAGCAAAGAUUAGAUUUUGACGAAGCAAAGAUAUGUAACUACUGGUUGGUGCGAAUCCAGAACACAAUCUCAAAA